GGAACUCCAGGUGCUGGGUCUUCCAGGAGCGCGCCUGCGCGGGAGGGUGACCACAGGCGGCCGGGCGGGAUGUCCUGUCCGCAGUCUUCAGCCCAGCCGCCGCCACCCAUAAGCUAUGAGGAGGAGUUUACGACCACCUGGACUACUACCACCUGCGUGACUUCCCGGCCUGCGGGGUCCGCGCAGCAAAGGCUUGACGCUGCUGGAGCAGGCGCUGCGCACCUACUGGCUGGCGCCUGGUAGGCACGAGCGCAGGGUCGCCCAGAAGCUCCUCAAUGGCCUGAGCAAGUACCAGCCAGCGCCAGCUGCAGCCCUGGCCGCGCACUCGCCUCAGCUGAGCCUGGGAAUGAAGAAGCUGUUUCUUUACACAAUCGUUAUCCCAUAAUGCCUGCUUCUGCUGCUACCACGGGCUCACCUAAAAGGCAACCAAAGGGAGGAACAGGAAGAGAAGAGUGUGGCCUCCUAGAAAUCUAGCACGGAGAAAGUUACUCAUCCUUCAAAACUCAGUUCAGAGAUCAGCUCCUCCAAGAAGGCUUCUGUGGUUGUGGUUGGUGCUCUUUCCUACCAGUACCAGCUGUCCUGAGAGCACGUCUCUACAUCUCUACCUGCAUUCUGGAAACCGGGAGAAAGCCAAAACGGAUGACAAGACACUAGAUCAGCCGUGUCCAACCCUGUGACUACAAGGACUUUUCCGCCUAUCUUUGGUGAGACGGGGUCUCACUGUAUUGUCCAGGUUGGUCUCAAACUCUUUGACUCAAGGGAUCCAGGACAGGAUAACAGGUGUGAGCCACCACACCUGGCCAUGUGCAUGAACUUUUAAGACAAACACAAGGCCCCACAAAAGGGGUUCCUGGCAAGUCAGUUCUCCCUCAGGCCUUUGGUUUCCUCACCUACAAGAUGAGAGGGCCGGACCAGAUGGAAAUUCGGGGGGGUCCGUAUCUCCUGCUCGGUGAGGUCGUUGGACACAGCGCACUUGGUGCCCAGCCCGCGCAGGCUGCCAAUGGAGAUGCCGAUGAGCUUCUGGAGCUGUCCGCACUGCUGCAGCCCCGGGCUGGCCGGGGCCCCUGCGCCACCCUCAGCGGCCGCUGCAUCACCCCCGCCACCGCCCUCCUUCUUCUCUCCCAUCGCCUCCGCGCGCAGUGCCGCCCUAUGCAGGCCACAGCGGCCGAGGCAGGGAGCCCGGGGCUCGGGCGCCUAGGCAAGGAACCCCCGAGCCGGGAGAGCUGGACCGGGAGCGCCCCUCGGCGCUGCCCUUGCCAGGACGCCAGUAGAGCUGGCAGCGGAGUCUGCCGCUCCCGCCCUCAGAGCCGCGGCGGCGGGGAGAAGAGGGUGGGACGGUCUGACAGCCGUGGCGGCGGGAGCAGAAAGCCGCGGCGGCAAAAAGCCGCGGCGACGGGGGGCAAAAAGCCGCGGCGGCGCAGGCAAAAAGCUUAGGCGGCGGGGGCAAAAAGCCGCGGCGGCAAAAAUGCGCGGCGGCGGGGCAAAAAGCCGCGGCGGAAGAAAGCCGCCGGGGCGGGGGCAAAAAGCCGCGGCGGGGGGGACAAAAAGCAGUGGGAGCUGGGGCAAAAAAACCACAAAAAGCCGCGGCGGCGGGGACCAAAACGCCGCGGCAGCGGAGGCAAAAAGCUGCAAAAGCCGCGGUGUGGGGGCAGAAAGCCGCAGCGGGAGAAAGUCUCACUCCAAAUUCCCUUGCUUCAGUAAGCUUCUCUAGGCCAAUGUUCCUUCGGCAUUACCCAUUUUCUUCCUGUGAAUGCAAAUCACAUAAACAUGGAAGUACAUUUGACCAUUUUAAUUGUUUAACAUUCCAUGUCACACGACCUUCCACAAUAGAAUCAAUGUAUUAAAAUGUGUUAACGACCACACAUUUUACACAAAUGCCAUGAAUCCUUAAGGUGUUCCAAUUUAUAAAAUAUGUCUGCAAAUCAUACUUUAUGAUGCUUUGUAUUCUGUCGGUAAUUGGAUGUCAUAUAUUUAAAUUCUAUUAAACUGCUUAUUAAAAUG
Molecule: long non-coding RNA, 2001 nt
Filed under: Homo sapiens (human)
Lineage: Eukaryota; Metazoa; Chordata; Mammalia; Primates; Hominidae
Description: non-protein coding lnc-ERV3-1-10:2
Source: RNAcentral